Molecule: transfer RNA, 72 nt
Filed under: Parasitella parasitica
Lineage: Eukaryota; Fungi; Mucoromycota; Mucoromycetes; Mucorales; Mucoraceae
Description: tRNA-Ala
Source: RNAcentral
GGGGAUGUAGCUCAAAUGGUAGAGCGCUCGCUUAGCAUGCGAGAGGCACUGGGAUCGACGCCCUUUUUUUUU